This 494-nucleotide ribosomal RNA is filed under the name uncultured bacterium. RNAcentral's name for it is "partial 16S ribosomal RNA". It matches the Rfam family "Bacterial small subunit ribosomal RNA", at positions 28 to 507 of the family's 1533-position model. The record is from RNAcentral.
GACGAACGCUGGCGGCGCGCUUAACACAUGCAAGUCGAACGGAAAGGCCUGCUUUCCCUUGUGGAUUGCGGGUACUCGAGUGGCGAACGGGUGAGUAACACGUGAGUGAUCUGCCCCCAACUUGGGUAUAAGCCUGGGAAACUGGGUCUAAUUCCCGAUAGGACUGCAGGGUGGUGCCUGUGGUGGAAAACGAUUUUCUAGUGGUUGGGGAUGAGCUCGCGGCCUAUCAGCUUGUUGGUGGGGUAAUGGCCUACCAAGGCGGCGACGGGUAGCCGGCCUGGGAGGGUGGACGGCCACAUUGGGACGGAGAUACGGCCCAGACGCCUACGGGAGGCAGCAGUGGGGAAUAUUGCGCAAUGGGCGGAAGCCUGAUGCAGCGACGCCGCGUGGGGGAUGACGGCCUUCGGAUUGUAGACUCCUUUCGACCGCGAGGAAGCCACCUGGUUGGAAGGGUGGUGACGGUAGUGGUAGAAGAAGCACCGGCUAACUACGUG